This 327-nucleotide unclassified non-coding RNA is filed under the name Athalia rosae (coleseed sawfly). Its description in RNAcentral is "misc RNA ENSAEAG00005005525.1". Lineage: Eukaryota; Metazoa; Arthropoda; Insecta; Hymenoptera; Athaliidae. The record is from RNAcentral.
GGACAAUAGAACCAAGCAACAGUGAAGCUACGUGUCAGUUUUAUUUGAAUAUGGAUACAGCGUCUCAAUGGCAAAUGCAGAAUCGGUAUACAGAAUUUCCCAGGUGAUUGAUGACACUGUUUGUUGGCAGCUAAGGUGAUUAAAUAGUUCAUGAGGAAAUUGGAAGAAUAGGAGAGAAUUGAUGACAGCUCGCAAUGGGUUGGAUCAAUUGAAAUACCUUCUAGUUUUAUAAGUCCAGUGAAAGAACGUAUUGCUAUUAACAAUUGCUAAAAACUCACUAAUUAAAAACUCGUGACACACCUUUGACGUUUCAUCGGAGCAUAGCCU